This 253-nucleotide ribosomal RNA is filed under the name uncultured bacterium. RNAcentral's name for it is "partial 16S ribosomal RNA". It matches the Rfam family "Bacterial small subunit ribosomal RNA", at positions 524 to 776 of the family's 1533-position model. The record is from RNAcentral.
UACGUAGGGUGCAAGCGUUGUCCGGAAUUAUUGGGCGUAAAGCGCUCGUAGGCGGUUUGUCGCGUCUGCUGUGAAAACUCGGGGCUUAACUCCGGGCCUGCAGUGGGUACGGGCAGACUAGAGUGCGGUAGGGGAGACUGGAAUUCCUGGUGUAGCGGUGAAAUGCGCAGAUAUCAGGAGGAACACCGGUGGCGAAGGCGGGUCUCUGGGCCGUAACUGACGCUGAGGCGCGAAAGCUAGGGGAGCAAACGGG